CCACACUGUUUUAGUAUCUCGACCCAUCUGUUCUCUAGAUGCUUCCCCACCGUUUCAGACUCUCGACCCACCUUUCCUCUGCCCGGCUCCUGCUUUCCCCGUCUCCCUCCUCACCUCAUCUCCCAAUUUCCCAACUUAUUUUCGAUUUACACUUAAAUCUCAUAUGAAUCUCCUUGGUCUCACCUAUCCUCUGAACCCAAAAAAGAUUUAGCCUUCCGACGACUCUGGCUGCCAUAAUCAAUCUUGGUUGUUGGCCGACAACCGGACUGCAACAUCGUCUUGUCUCACUCCAGCAUUAGCAUAUUCCAGCUUCAAACCCUCUCUGACCCUUUUUGCCAAAAUCGUUCUCACCGAUUUGUCAUCAGGGAAAAACACCAUCUUUGCCGAAAAAGUUUGAAUUUUUCUCGGGAAUUCUCACCCAUCCCUAAGAUUUUCUUUGUGGGUUUUGGUUCUCAGGUUGCGAAUUUUUCUUGGUGGCGAUGAUCGGUGUUCGUUGUUGUGUGGAUGAUCCCAGUGGAGCUUUGGUUUUCAGCUUUGGUGAUUUCUGCGUGGAUUUUUUGGGAUAUGGUUUGGGCUUCUGGGAAUUUUUUCAGUUGAGGAGAUUGUUGGAUACUGCUGCUAAGUGGAUCAAUGGAAGCGAUAGCCAGUGAUUGAGGGUAUCUUUUGGAGGACUUUGUUGUGGAUGGGAUUCAAACAGAACCUUUCAACUUGAACGAGAGGAGAGGGAAAAAGGUUAUUUUGAUGCAGAUGGAAAGUUUAUUAAUAUGCCAUUAAAAAUGAAGUCAAGGUCAUAAAAUAUUUUUUAUACUGAAGCUUUCAUCUCUCUGAUUAAAUUUAGUUGAAUUAAGUAAUUCAGUCAAUUACUUAAUUCAGUAAAAGAGACAACCAAAAAACGUGGAGGUGGAGUCAAAUGCAAAAUCAUAGAAUCAGAAAUUAAGAUUACCAUAUGUAUUUGAGAGCACAGCUGAUGCCUAGACACUAUUGAUCCCUCAAAAUUUUAGCCAUAAAGCAAAAGGUGGUGACUCACGUAGACAGCUGACUCAUUUUCAAUAGAAAGGAAUAGCCAAACUAACCCAGCUGGGAAAUAACGUUCACCAAUCACUGUCUUAGCACAUUUACUUAAGUGAAUACAUUGUUGUUUAUUAUGGCCGUCUUUCCAAGAUCAAGCCCCUUGCUCAGUUGUAUAAAGUUUGCAUCCUCAGUUGUGCCGUAUCGCAAGUUUGGAUUUUUGGGUGCCCCUUUCAUGUAGCAAAACGAAAAAUUUGAUGCAAAUCAGUUUGUCUCAAAUUGCAGCUUCCUCGGUUUCUCAAAUCUCAACGAUCAAUCUGCAGUAUCCCUCAAGCAGUUUCUCCCAAACUCUUACGAUUUGCAUUUUUGCUUAUCUCCCUACACUCUUAUCAGCAUUAUCACUGCUCUCUCAUAUGCUUUUCUUUGUUUUGCUCUAAUUUUUAAAUUUAUUUUUUUGUUAUUUAGUGUGAGAAAAUGGCUUCAAAAUUGGAAUUUCCAUUAUCUGGGCAAAGGAAAACAGAAAGAGAACACCAAUAGUGGUGACGAUGGAGAAUCCCUUCUUUGCUGUGGAAAUCGAAGGUCUAUGUGCAACAUUUAGCCCAGUUUAUAAGAGCAGGGGUCAAAAUGAAGAACCAAUGACAUGGGGAUUUGUUUAAUUUUAUCAAGUUUUGUACUGAGUAAAAUGGCAUUUUUAUCCCUGCUGUGCAAUAGAAAUCUCUUGAUUUCUUCAGAACCUGCACUCAGCUUCGCCAUCUCUCUUCGAUCUCUGCUUCAUGCUCUUCAAUCUUUGCUUCAUCAUCUCUUCCUCCGUGAUUUCUUCACCAGCAACUUUGCUCUAAAUCUUUCCAAUUGAAAAAACCUAGAUCAUCAUCAUCUAUUCCUCUUCACCACAGCUCAUCAGAAACAGUAAGCAAGUGAAAGCUAUAACCAAAGGUUUAUUUAGUUCUCCCAUAUGGUUUUCAUCUAUUGUAGGUAAACGAGAGCUACUGUGCUCUUUAUGCAAUAAAGUUCACCAUCAGCUCUAGAUACGAGCAUCAUGGCAAAGUUGAAGUAUGCAUAAAUGGCAAUAGUUUUGGCCUCAACUGGAAGUUGUAGCGAGUGUAACUAUAUUGGGACAUGUAAUGAGAAGAAAUGUUUAAGUAGCUGUGGGGAGAGUUGUAUUGAACAGAACAACUAUCCUCGGGGUAGCUGUAACACCUGAUGAGAAUUUUGAAGGUGAUCCAAUCGGAGGCCAGUUGUAGCUAAUGAUUCUCAAUUUCUCGAGUACAGCAGUAAAGGUCUUCUAUCUUCAUUUCUCAUUGACAUUUUUUUUCCUUGACAACAUAGUUCACAAGGCUUUUAGCCUGUUAUUAUUAUUGGAAUUAGAUUACAAUACUUGCAAUAAUUUUGGCAAGGAAUCAGUUGACAGUGUGGGGUUCAUGGAGUUUGGAUUCAGCAUUCUCUGAAAUUAGCCAAGGAAUGGAAAUUUUAUUGGUUUGAUUAGUAAUUUGGUAUGUUCUUUUUAUUUUUAUUUUUUUUUUGGGAAACUAAUUUGGUAUGUUCUUUAAAUUCUAUAAUUAUGAGAGAAACAGAGAUCAUCGUAUUAUAUAUUUUAUCAACAUUUAACAUUUAUGAUUGUGAACUA
Molecule: non-coding RNA, 2632 nt
Organism: Malus domestica (apple)
Lineage: Eukaryota; Viridiplantae; Streptophyta; Magnoliopsida; Rosales; Rosaceae
Source: RefSeq, a predicted model, not a curated record